RNAcentral lists this ribosomal RNA (460 nucleotides) under uncultured bacterium. RNAcentral's name for it is "partial 16S ribosomal RNA". It matches the Rfam family "Bacterial small subunit ribosomal RNA", at positions 338 to 795 of the family's 1533-position model. The record is from RNAcentral.
CCUACGGGUGGCAGCAGUGAGGAAUAUUGGUCAAUGGGCGCGAGCCUGAACCAGCCAAGUAGCGUGAAGGAUGACUGCCCUCCGGGUUGUAAACUUCUUUUAUAAAGGAAUAAAGUGCGGCACGUGUGCCUUUAUGUAUGUACUUUAUGAAUAAGGCUCGGCUAACUCUGUGCCAGCAGCCGCGGUAAUACGGAGGAUCCGAGCGUUAUCCGGAUUUAUUGGGUUUAAAGGGAGCGUAGAUGGGUUGUUAAGUCAGUUGUGAAAGUUUGCGGCUCAACCAUAAAAGUGCAAUUGAUACUGGCAUUCUUGAGUACAGUUGAGGGAGGCGGAAUUCGUGGUGUAGCGGUGAAAUGCGUAGAUAUCACGAAGAACACCGAUUGCGAAGGCAGCUUACUAGACUGCCACUGACAUUGAUGCUCGAAAGUGUGGGUAUCAAACAGGAUUAGAUACCCCAGUAGUC